Molecule: ribosomal RNA, 300 nt
Filed under: uncultured bacterium
Lineage: Bacteria
Description: bacterial SSU rRNA
Rfam family: Bacterial small subunit ribosomal RNA
Source: RNAcentral
GACGAACGCUGGCGGCAGGCUUAAUACAUGCAAGUCGAGGGGCAGCGGGGGUAGCAAUACCUGCCGGCGACCGGCAAACGGGUGCGGAACACGUACAGAACCUUCCUUUAAGCGGGAAUAGCCCGGAGAAAUCCGGAUUAAUACCCCAUAGUAAUGUUAAGUGGCAUCACUUGAUAUUUAAAGAUUUAUCACUUAAAGAUGGCUGUGCGGCUGGAUUAGGUAGUUGGUUGGGUAACGCCCACCAAGCCAACGAUCAGUAACUGGUGUGAGAGCACGACCAGUCACACGGGCACUGAGACA